GUGAGGAAUAUUGGUCAAUGGGCGGGAGCCUGAACCAGCCAAGUCGCGUGAAGGAAGAAGGAUCUAUGGUUCGUAAACUUCUUUUGCAGGGGAAUAAAGUGCAGGACGUGUCCUGUUUUGUAUGUACCCUGAGAAUAAGGAUCGGCUAACUCCGUGCCAGCAGCCGCGGUAAUACGGAGGAUCCGAGCGUUAUCCGGAUUUAUUGGGUUUAAAGGGUGCGUAGGUGGUUUGAUAAGUCAGCGGUGAAAGUUUGCUGCUUAGCUGUAAACAUGCCGUUGAAACUGUCGGACUUGAGUGUAAAUGAGGUAGGCGGAAUGCGUGGUGUAGCGGUGAAAUGCAUAGAUAACACGCAGAACUCCGAUUGCGAAGGCAGCUUACUAAGCUACACCUGACACUGAAGCACGAAAGCGUGGGGAUCAAACAGGAUUAGAUACCCUUGUAGUCC
RNAcentral lists this ribosomal RNA (445 nucleotides) under uncultured bacterium. RNAcentral describes it as "partial 16S ribosomal RNA". It matches the Rfam family "Bacterial small subunit ribosomal RNA", at positions 354 to 796 of the family's 1533-position model. The record is from RNAcentral.